Molecule: unclassified non-coding RNA, 250 nt
Filed under: plant metagenome
Description: partial contains small subunit ribosomal RNA, internal transcribed spacer 1, and 5.8S ribosomal RNA
Source: RNAcentral
GUAGGUGAACCUGCGGAAGGAUCAUUAACACGAAUUAUUAUCCACUAUUCCAACCAAACGUGAACUUUUCCCCUCCCUAGUGCUUUACUUUAUUGUAAUUGCAUUAGGCUAACCUGUUGUUCCUAUGGAACACAUCAUAACCCCAUACAAACAAACAAACUUAUGGUCUUGAUUUAAAACUCAUUACCAUUCCAAUUUAUCCGAACAUGACCAGUAGUCCUAGUUGACUCGGUCUGUUCUGUUCUACUAA